AGUGCGCUAUGCUGAGCGGGCAUCUACACUAAGGCCACCAUCAAUAUGGUGACUCCUGAGGAACUGGGGGACACCAGGUUGACUAAGGAGGGGUGAACCGGCCCAGGUUGGAGACAGAGCAGGUCAAAGCUCCCAUGGUAGUAGCAGGAUCGUGUCUGUGAAUAGCCACU
RNAcentral lists this signal recognition particle RNA (170 nucleotides) under Mesitornis unicolor (brown roatelo). Its description in RNAcentral is "Metazoan signal recognition particle RNA". It matches the Rfam family "Metazoan signal recognition particle RNA", at positions 87 to 260 of the family's 299-position model. From Rfam's summary of the family: The signal recognition particle (SRP) is a universally conserved ribonucleoprotein. It is involved in the co-translational targeting of proteins to membranes. Lineage: Eukaryota; Metazoa; Chordata; Aves; Mesitornithiformes; Mesitornithidae. The record is from Rfam by way of RNAcentral.